UACGGGAGGCAGCAGUGGGGAAUAUUGCACAAUGGGCGCAAGCCUGAUGCAGCCAUGCCGCGUGUAUGAAGAAGGCCUUCGGGUUGUAAAGUACUUUCAGCGGGGAGGAAGGCGAUGCGGUUAAUAACCGCGUCGAUUGACGUUACCCGCAGAAGAAGCACCGGCUAACUCCGUGCCAGCAGCCGCGGUAAUACGGAGGGUGCAAGCGUUAAUCGGAAUUACUGGGCGUAAAGCGCACGCAGGCGGUCUGUUAAGUCAGAUGUGAAAUCCCCGGGCUUAACCUGGGAACUGCAUUUUGAACUGGCAGGCUUGAGUCUUGUAGAGGGGGUAGAAUUCCAGGUGUAGCGGUGAAAUGCGUAGAGAUCUGGAGGAAUACCGGUGGCGAAGGCGGCCCCUGGGACAAAGACUGACGCUCAGGUGCGAAAGCGUGGGGAGCAAACAGGAUUAGGAUACC
RNAcentral lists this ribosomal RNA (454 nucleotides) under uncultured bacterium. RNAcentral describes it as "bacterial SSU rRNA". It matches the Rfam family "Bacterial small subunit ribosomal RNA", at positions 340 to 786 of the family's 1533-position model. The record is from RNAcentral.